CUCAGGAUGAACGCUGGCGGUGUGCUUAACACAUGCAAGUCGAACGGUCUCUUUGGAGAUAGUGGCGGACGGGUGAGUAACGCGUGAGAAUCUGGCUCUAGGUCUGGGAUAACAGAUGGAAACGUCUGCUAAUACCGGAUGUGCCGAGAGGUGAAAGGUUCACUGCCUAGAGAUGAGCUCGCGUCAGAUUAGCUAGUAGGUGGGGUAAGGGCUCACCUAGGCGACGAUCUGUAGCUGGUCUGAGAGGGCGAUCAGCCACACUGGGACUGAGACACGGCCCAGACUCCUACGGGAGGCAGCAGUGGGGAAUUUUCCGCAAUGGGCGAAAGCCUGACGGAGCAAUACCGCGUGAGGGAGGAAGGCUCUUGGGUUGUAAACCUCUUUUCUCAAGGAAUAAGAUAUGAAGGUACUUGAGGAAUAAGCAUCGGCUAACUCCGUGCCAGCAGCCGCGGUAAUACGGAGGAUGCAAGCGUUAUCCGGAAUGAUUGGGCGUAAAGCGUCCGUAGGUGGUUUUGUGUGUCUGCUGUUAAAGCGUGCGGCUUUACCGCAUAAGGGCGGUGGAAACUACAAGACUAGAGUACGUUCGGGGCAGGGGGAAUUCCCAGUGUAGCGGUGAAAUGCGUAGAGAUUGGGAAGAACACCGGUGGCGAAAGCGCCCUGCUAGGCCGUAACUGACACUGAGGGACGAAAGCUAGGGGAGCGAAUGGGAUUAGAUACCCCAGUAGUCCUAGCCGUAAACGAUGGUGACUAGAUGUGGCUCGUAUUGACCCGAGCCGUGUCGUAGCUAACGCGAUAAGUCACCCGCCUGGGGAGUACGCACGCAAG
RNAcentral lists this ribosomal RNA (825 nucleotides) under uncultured cyanobacterium. RNAcentral describes it as "bacterial SSU rRNA". It matches the Rfam family "Bacterial small subunit ribosomal RNA", at positions 23 to 892 of the family's 1533-position model. The record is from RNAcentral. Lineage: Bacteria; Bacillati; Cyanobacteriota.